GGCCAGUAUCUAGUAUUGCCAACCUAGUGGCACUUGAAUCACCCAAGUCCCUCUCUGCUCCAGCCUUACCUGCAACCAGCAGGCUCAGUCCUGUCCGACCAGCCCAAGGGAGAGGGAUCUUGGGGAUUAAAGAAACAGGAACUAACUGCUCUUCUGAGUGCAGUAUGCAAAUUGAUUCAAGAGAGCCCCUGGGACAUGCUGUGCUCAGUGAGCUGAAAUCCCCCCUUUUAGUGCUCUUAUGGUUAGGCCCUGUGGGGGAAUCGGGUUGAGGGGAGUGGGUUUGUUUACUAGCCCUGUAAUCUUGGGCAAGUCUCUUAACCCCCCCGAGACUCAGUUUUUCCAUCUGGUACUCAACCGCUUGAAGGGUUGAUGUAACAAUUAGAGAAAAUGUUUGUAAAAGAAUUAACACAGCGCCCGAUCUGUGAUGAAUACUCAGUAAAAGUUAGCUAGCACCCUCCUCCUCGUUGUUGUUGCUGUGUCCUGCUAACCUCUUUUCCCGAGGCCUUCAUUCUGCCUCCCACAGCCCUUCAAAUACCCCCAGCCACAGGCUUUCUGGAAUCAGGUUGUUUCACCCCCUGAUAAAGAAUUUUGGCACUCUAGCUGAUCUGACCACCAGACUUGCCCACCUCCAGAAAAUGACAUCUCUUCAGACUGGUUCCCUUUACUUCUACCUGAGCUUACCUGAGCGUCUACUUUUCUUUACUUCUAUCUGAGCUUAAACUUUAUGUAUUGGCUAAGGCAAGAACUUUAUGUUUAGGGAGGAGAGUAUAAUUAUGUACUGUAUACCAUAUAUCUGUGGUAAAUUGGGCCCUAUACAAAACAUAUAGAGAACUGUGUUUAUUAACUUUAUUUAGAGUCAGGACACCCAACUCUGGUUAGGUGGUAGUUGGAUAAGUCAGACCUGGGCAGUGGAAGAACCAAAUCACACAAACUAGAAAUUUCCACUUGGCUGAGCUGUAUAAUCUGGGCAGGCCUCAGGUGUGAGUCAGGGGAAGAAAUCUGGAAGGACAAAUGCCAUAUCAGAGGAUAUUUCAUGACUGGUGAUUAUUAGAGGUCCAGGUUGGAGAAAGGCAAUUGUGAUGUAGAAGGCCUAACUUAGGAUUUGUUCACUGAAAAGGAGGCUAGGAGCAGGAGGAGAACAUGAAACAGGAAUUACAUAGAUUUGUGUCAUAAUAGCAAAAACAACAACUAUAUUAGCUUAAUAAUUCUAAUAGCUUGCUAUAUGCCAGUCCCUGUACUUAUAUUAAGAUAUUUACAUAUACUAUCCAUCCAAAUCUCAUUUAAUAGGUAUUAAUAUCAUCUUCAUUUUCCUGAUGAGAAAACUGAGUCUUAGACGAAGUAAUUUGCUCAAGGUUAUAGGCAUGUCAUUAGCAAAGCAGGGAUUUGAAUUUAGAUGUGUUUUUCUCUAAAGCUUGGAUUCAGAUAAAUAGAUCUGGCAGCACUAGAAGAUUAAAUGCAGUGGGGGUUAGGGGGACUGGAUGCACAGUGACCACUAAUGGAGUGACUUUUAGUAUUCAAGAGAGCUAUGAGCAUCUAAAGUAAGGGAGCUGCAGUAGGGAUGGAGAGGAAGAUACACAUACAAGAUCAGGUAGGAAGGUAUACUCCAACAGUGGCUUCCAAAUCUCGAUGAGUAUCAGAUUCUUUGUGGAAGUUCUGUAUAUUUAUUUUUGAAAGUAGAUUCCCACAGCAUACCUCAGGCCUUCUGAAUCAGAAUCUCUGGGGCAGGGCUUCGUAUUUAUACAAAGCACCCUAGUUCUGAAGCUCUGCCAGGUUUAAGAACCACAGAUCUAUUGGCCUUGAUUUAGAUGUUUGGGGUGGAAUAUGAGAGAUGGAAGAUUCUAGGACGACAUCCAAAUUUCUGAAUUUUGUGACUGAGUGAAUUAUGGGCACACUCCACUAAGCUAAGAAAUAGCAAUAGUUUUGAAGGAUAAGAUGCUGAGUUCAGUUUUGGACAUGUUGAGAUGGACCAGUCCUGUGGGGAGUUGGAUACCAGAGUCUAAAGCUUGGAGGAGAGGCCAAGGCUGAAAAUUUAGAUAUGGAGGUCAUUGGUAUUUGGAGGGUGGUUGCUGUAUAUUUUACAUGGAAUUUUCAAAAUAUCCAAACCUUCAAUUUUUUCUCAAUCAUCAAAUAGUCACUCUACAUCUUAAGUACAUUCCCUUUCUGACUCUUUUUCUGACUCUUGACCGAGUCUAUUGUUUUUUAAAUUUAAGUAACCACUUCUUUAUAGCUCCUUCAGAGUCAUGCACUGUUAUAAGUACUUAUUUGCAUCAUCUCAUGGGAUUCAAACCAACCACUUGUUAAAGUAAAAUUUAUUAUCCCUAUAUUUUAGAUGAAGAGAUUUAGGGAGGCUAUGUAAUUUGCCUAAAGUAAUAUAGAAUCAAAUGGUUGAGUCAGAAUUUGAACCUAAGAUUCCUUCUGACUCCCGCUUCAGAGCUUUUUGGCUAUUUCACAAUAGAGCUGUUCCCAGGUCAAGCAGACAAUACUCAUAUUACCUUUGCAAAAGAAGCAAUGCAAUCUACCAUCAGUAAAUUUUACAGGCUAAUUCCAAAGUAUGCUUAAAUACAGAAAAAUACAUUUAGAAAAAAUGAGUUCAAUGUUUUUGGAGGCACGGGAUGCUUAGUAAAUAAUACUUAUUUAAUAAAAUGAGUUUAUGUGUACUUUCCUGGGACCAUUAGGAUUGAACUGAUCAACGUACCUUUUGAACUUUGUCUAAUAGCACAUGGAGUAGUUUACAUUUUCUGUACUCUCAGAGAAAGGGGGUGGGGAGGGGUAUAGUAUUGGUUUUAUGGCUCAGGAAAUUCUGUUGCAUGGUUUGGCCUUCCAGGAUUUUCCCAACUUUGUGUUGUAUAUUCAGAUUUGGGUUGAAAUUAAAAUGGGCUCUUGGUAAGCUCAAGUUGAAAAUAUGUCUCAGCACUAACAUUGUUAUUCUUUAGAUUUGGAUAAAUACAGACAACUGCCACGUCUUCUUGGUAGCACUGCUUGUACCUUUGAUCUCAUUUCAUAACCUCUUGAUUUUGUCCUUCGGUAUUUGGUUGUGAAGACCCUCAGGAGGCGGGAGAGUUCAACGCAAAGAACACAGGAUUUGGGAUCAGAAAGACCCAAGUUCAGAUCUUUGUUCCAUAUUUACCAGUUUUGUAAACUCUAAGAAAUCACUCCCUUUAUUUGGCCCUUAAUUUUAUAUCUUGAAAAUUGGAGUUAAAAAUGUCUGUAUUAUAGAGUUAUUGUUGGGAUGAAAAUCAAAAUAAAUACAAAGAACUUGGCACCCUUUUGGUGCUCAAUCAAUAUUUCAAUAUUUGUUGAAUGGCCAUUUCCUGUCUCCUCAUGUCUGCGACCAGAUCCAAAUUCAGUCAUUUAUUUGAUUCCAUUCAUUCUGGACUGGGGAAUAAAGUCAAGAAUUAUGCUUAGAAAGCAUUUAUAACACUAGUAACUCGAGAGAGGUUUAUAGACCAUCUCAUUUACUGGAGCUAAAGCUAUCUGUCAGGGCCAGAUUAAAACACAGACAAGACCUAUGCACAGGUGAGAUAAAGGUGCCCCUCCACAUAUUCCACAUGUAAGUUAAAAUUUAAAAAAAUAAAAAUGUCUAACAAAGCCCAAUAAUGUUCUUUUUUUUCCCCAUGAUGUCUGCUCUGCAGCUUUUUAAAAAUAUCAAAUUCUUAAAAACAAUAACAACAACCAGUUUUAAAAUUGGUCUGAGAUUGCCCUUGCAGGCCUUUCCUGCUCACAGUAGCUGAGGCAGGUAGAAUAGGGGAGAAGGAUUAUCAACCAAUCAAUGUUUUUUAAACCCCUGAGAUAAAAUUUUUUUGAGAGUUUACUCUAUUUGGACCCUUAAAAAAAAACUGUUAGCUUCCAUCUUCUGUGUGUAUUUUGUCUAUUUGGCCCAGGUUUCUAUUACUUGUGACACUGAAAUAAGAGUUUUCUCCAAUAUUAAUCCUUAGACUUUCUGCAUGUCCCAACUUGUUAAAGUCUUGUGUUAAUGCAAGCUCAUGGCAAACAAUGUGGAUUGAAUACCCAACAGACAUUCCCCUCAUAAUUCCUUGCCAAGAGAACCCCAAUACUGUUCAGUUAUUAGGCCCAUGUUCUUUAUUGAUACCUCCUUAGCCUCAGUGGGUGAAUGAGGAUUAGGUUAAGGCAAUCCUGGUGUAAUUCCUUUUCUUCUUGCUAAUGUUUGAUUUUAUACAGGGGCAAUCUUGCUUGAGAAAUGUGAAGGCAAGUAAUGGAACUUUUAGGUUUCCUUUGCUCUGCAAAUGGACAAAAGGUUCAUACUUUCCUGAAUCUGGUCAUUGUUGGACGAUGACUGGUGCCAUGGAAGCUCUCUUGAGAUCAUGAGAAAAUGAAUAUGAGGACAAAACUGACAUGCUAAGAAUGGCAGAGGAAAAUAUGGCAAGAACCUCGAUCCUUGAUGUCACUGAGUCACUGACUGAAUUUAUGCUGGAACUAUUAGAAAUCAGUCCUUAUUGUUGAAGAUACUUUUAGUCAUGUUUUCUAUUACAAGCAUUUAAAAGCAUCCUAGGUAAUUAAUGUUAAAGGCAUCUCUCACAAUUUUUACUUAUUUUUCAGAAACGCUUACUAGAAAUUGCUAUUGCUGGUUAUAAGAUUUAUUCUAAAUAGAUUGAAUUUUCUAAAAGAUUGUCAAUCUCUCUAAAAAUAAAAGCAUGACUUGAUCAGCAAUUGUUUAGUCUGGUAUUUCUCAAAUUUCUAUUAUUUACAUCCCAGUUUUAUGAUUUUGUCAUAUCCUUGUGUCAUCUAUACUAAUAAAAAUAUUUUUCUUUAA
This is a long non-coding RNA of Aethalodelphis obliquidens (Pacific white-sided dolphin), 4771 nucleotides long. RefSeq lists it as uncharacterized. NCBI's taxonomy places the organism in Eukaryota, Metazoa, Chordata, Mammalia, Artiodactyla, Delphinidae. The record is from RefSeq and is a predicted model, not a curated record. The transcript has 2 exons.